UUGAACGCUGGCGGCAUGCCUUACACAUGCAAGUCGAACGGCAGCACGGGUGCUUGCACCUGGUGGCGAGUGGCGAACGGGUGAGUAAUACAUCGGAACAUGUCCUGUAGUGGGGGAUAGCCCGGCGAAAGCCGGAUUAAUACCGCAUACGAACUACGGAUGAAAGCGGGGGACCUUCGGGCCUCGCGCUAUAGGGUUGGCCGAUGGCUGAUUAGCUAGUUGGUGGGGUAAAGGCCUACCAAGGCGACGAUCAGUAGCUGGUCUGAGAGGACGACCAGCCACACUGGGACUGAGACACGGCCCAGACUCCUACGGGAGGCAGCAGUGGGGAAUUUUGGACAAUGGGCGAAAGCCUGAUCCAGCAAUGCCGCGUGUGUGAAGAAGGCCUUCGGGUUGUAAAGCACUUUUGUCCGGAAAGAAAUCCUUGGCCCUAAUACGGUCGGGGGAUGACGGUACCGGAAGAAUAAGCACCGGCUAACUACGUG
This 485-nucleotide ribosomal RNA is filed under the name uncultured bacterium. Its description in RNAcentral is "partial 16S ribosomal RNA". It matches the Rfam family "Bacterial small subunit ribosomal RNA", at positions 30 to 507 of the family's 1533-position model. The record is from RNAcentral.